Molecule: ribosomal RNA, 1550 nt
Filed under: Staphylococcus aureus
Lineage: Bacteria; Bacillati; Bacillota; Bacilli; Caryophanales; Staphylococcaceae
Description: partial 23S ribosomal RNA
Rfam family: Bacterial large subunit ribosomal RNA
Source: RNAcentral
GUUAAGCAGUAAAUGUGGAGCCGUAGCGAAAGCGAGUCUGAAUAGGGCGUUUAGUAUUUGGUCGUAGACCCGAAACCAGGUGAUCUACCCUUGGUCAGGUUGAAGUUCAGGUAACACUGAAUGGAGGACCGAACCGACUUACGUUGAAAAGUGAGCGGAUGAACUGAGGGUAGCGGAGAAAUUCCAAUCGAACCUGGAGAUAGCUGGUUCUCUCCGAAAUAGCUUUAGGGCUAGCCUCAAGUGAUGAUUAUUGGAGGUAGAGCACUGUUUGGACGAGGGGCCCCUCUCGGGUUACCGAAUUCAGACAAACUCCGAAUGCCAAUUAAUUUAACUUGGGAGUCAGAACAUGGGUGAUAAGGUCCGUGUUCGAAAGGGAAACAGCCCAGACCACCAGCUAAGGUCCCAAAAUAUAUGUUAAGUGGAAAAGGAUGUGGCGUUGCCCAGACAACUAGGAUGUUGGCUUAGAAGCAGCCAUCAUUUAAAGAGUGCGUAAUAGCUCACUAGUCGAGUGACACUGCGCCGAAAAUGUACCGGGGCUAAACAUAUUACCGAAGCUGUGGAUUGUCCUUUGGACAAUGGUAGGAGAGCGUUCUAAGGGCGUUGAAGCAUGAUCGUAAGGACAUGUGGAGCGCUUAGAAGUGAGAAUGCCGGUGUGAGUAGCGAAAGACGGGUGAGAAUCCCGUCCACCGAUUGACUAAGGUUUCCAGAGGAAGGCUCGUCCGCUCUGGGUUAGUCGGGUCCUAAGCUGAGGCCGACAGGCGUAGGCGAUGGAUAACAGGUUGAUAUUCCUGUACCACCUAUAAUCGUUUUAAUCGAUGGGGGGACGCAGUAGGAUAGGCGAAGCGUGCGAUUGGAUUGCACGUCUAAGCAGUAAGGCUGAGUAUUAGGCAAAUCCGGUACUCGUUAAGGCUGAGCUGUGAUGGGGAGAAGACAUUGUGUCUUCGAGUCGUUGAUUUCACACUGCCGAGAAAAGCCUCUAGAUAGAAAAUAGGUGCCCGUACCGCAAACCGACACAGGUAGUCAAGAUGAGAAUUCUAAGGUGAGCGAGCGAACUCUCGUUAAGGAACUCGGCAAAAUGACCCCGUAACUUCGGGAGAAGGGGUGCUCUUUAGGGUUAACGCCCAGAAGAGCCGCAGUGAAUAGGCCCAAGCGACUGUUUAUCAAAAACACAGGUCUCUGCUAAACCGUAAGGUGAUGUAUAGGGGCUGACGCCUGCCCGGUGCUGGAAGGUUAAGAGGAGUGGUUAGCUUCUGCGAAGCUACGAAUCGAAGCCCCAGUAAACGGCGGCCGUAACUAUAACGGUCCUAAGGUAGCGAAAUUCCUUGUCGGGUAAGUUCCGACCCGCACGAAAGGCGUAACGAUUUGGGCACUGUCUCAACGAGAGACUCGGUGAAAUCAUAGUACCUGUGAAGAUGCAGGUUACCCGCGACAGGACGGAAAGACCCCGUGGAGCUUUACUGUAGCCUGAUAUUGAAAUUCGGCACAGCUUGUACAGGAUAGGUAGGAGCCUUUGAAACGUGAGCGCUAGCUUACGUGGAGGCGCUGGUGGG